Molecule: ribosomal RNA, 301 nt
Filed under: uncultured bacterium
Lineage: Bacteria
Description: partial 16S ribosomal RNA
Rfam family: Bacterial small subunit ribosomal RNA
Source: RNAcentral
CAGCCGCCGCGGGAAUACGGAGGGGGCUAGCGUUGUUCGGAAUUACUGGGCGUAAAGCGUACGUAGGCGGCUUUGUGAGUUAGAGGUGAAAGCCUGGUGCUCAACACCAGAACUGCCUUUAAGACUGCAUCGCUUGAACGUCGGAGAGGUGAGUGGAAUUCCGAGUGUAGAGGUGAAAUUCGUAGAUAUUCGGAAGAACACCAGUGGCGAAGGCGGCUCACUGGACGACUGUUGACGCUGAGGUACGAAAGCGUGGGGAGCAAACAGGAUUAGAUACCCCGGUAGUCCCUGUCUCUUAUAA